Molecule: ribosomal RNA, 513 nt
Filed under: Cladosporium sp. MAB-2010a
Lineage: Eukaryota; Fungi; Ascomycota; Dothideomycetes; Cladosporiales; Cladosporiaceae
Description: eukaryotic LSU rRNA
Rfam family: 5.8S ribosomal RNA (bases 161-314)
Source: RNAcentral
CAUUACAAGAACGCCCGGGCUUCGGCCUGGUUAUUCAUAACCCUUUGUUGUCCGACUCUGUUGCCUCCGGGGCGACCCUGCCUUCGGGCGGGGGCUCCGGGUGGACACUUCAAACUCUUGCGUAACUUUGCAGUCUGAGUAAACUUAAUUAAUAAAUUAAAACUUUUAACAACGGAUCUCUUGGUUCUGGCAUCGAUGAAGAACGCAGCGAAAUGCGAUAAGUAAUGUGAAUUGCAGAAUUCAGUGAAUCAUCGAAUCUUUGAACGCACAUUGCGCCCCCUGGUAUUCCGGGGGGCAUGCCUGUUCGAGCGUCAUUUCACCACUCAAGCCUCGCUUGGUAUUGGGCAACGCGGUCCGCCGCGUGCCUCAAAUCGUCCGGCUGGGUCUUCUGUCCCCUAAGCGUUGUGGAAACUAUUCGCUAAAGGGUGUUCGGGAGGCUACGCCGUAAAACAACCCCAUUUCUAAGGUUGACCUCGGAUCAGGUAGGGAUACCCGCUGAACUUAAGCAUAUCA